This 433-nucleotide ribosomal RNA is filed under the name uncultured bacterium. RNAcentral describes it as "partial 16S ribosomal RNA". It matches the Rfam family "Bacterial small subunit ribosomal RNA", at positions 29 to 507 of the family's 1533-position model. The record is from RNAcentral.
AACGAACGCUGGCGGCAUGCCUAACACAUGCAAGUCGAACGAGACCUUCGGGUCUAGUGGCGCACGGGUGCGUAACGCGUGGGAACCUGCCCUUAGGUUCGGAAUAACUCCCCGAAAGGGGUGCUAAUACCGGAUAAUGUCUUCGGACCAAAGAUUUAUCGCCUUUGGAUGGGCCCGCGUUGGAUUAGCUAGUUGGUAGGGUAAAAGCCUACCAAGGCGACGAUCCAUAGCUGGUCUGAGAGGAUGAUCAGCCACACUGGGACUGAGACACGGCCCAGACUCCUACGGGAGGCAGCAGUGGGGAAUAUUGGACAAUGGGCGAAAGCCUGAUCCAGCAAUGCCGCGUGAGUGAUGAAGGCCGUAGGGUUGUAAAGCUCUUUUACCCGGGAUGAUAAUGACAGUACCGGGAGAAUAAGCGCCGGCUAACUCCGUG